RNAcentral lists this ribosomal RNA (450 nucleotides) under uncultured bacterium. RNAcentral describes it as "partial 16S ribosomal RNA". It matches the Rfam family "Bacterial small subunit ribosomal RNA", at positions 354 to 796 of the family's 1533-position model. The record is from RNAcentral.
GUGGGGAAUCUUCCGCAAUGGACGAAAGUCUGACGGAGCGACGCCGCGUGAGUGAAGAAGGCCUUCGGGUCGUAAAGCUCUGUCAUCAGGGACGAACGGCCGGUGGAGUGGAAAGCCACCGGAUUGACGGUACCUGAGAAGGAAGCCACGGCUAACUACGUGCCAGCAGCCGCGGUAAUACGUAGGUGGCAAGCGUUGUCCGGAAUUAUUGGGCGUAAAGCGCGCGCAGGUGGGAUCUUAAGUCCAUUUUUAAAGUUCGGAGCUCAACUCCGUGAUGGGAGGGAAACUGGGAUUCUUGAGUACCGGAGAGGAAAGCGGAAUUCCCCGUGUAGCGGUGAAAUGCGUAGAUAUGGGGAGGAACACCAGUGGCGAAGGCGGCUUUCUGGACGGUGUCUGACACUGAGGCGCGAAAGCCAGGGGAGCGAACGGGAUUAGAAACCCUGGUAGUCC